Long non-coding RNA from Eubalaena glacialis (North Atlantic right whale), 4524 nucleotides. RefSeq lists it as uncharacterized. The transcript is spliced from 18 exons. Lineage: Eukaryota; Metazoa; Chordata; Mammalia; Artiodactyla; Balaenidae. The record is from RefSeq and is a predicted model, not a curated record.
CAGUCCCCAACCACAGGGCAUCUCUGGAAAGUGCUGGCAAAGCACCUGGGGGAAGGCGACUUGGUGAGGUGCAGCCAGCUCCCCCUCAGUGCUGGAGGGAUGCAGAGGAGAGGGCAGAGAGAAUCAGGGACUCCAAGUCACAGAGGAGCCGGCAUCCACUCCGUCCACCCCUCGCUGCCCAGACGAGGAAACCGAGCCCACCCGGAGAGGAAACCCUGGGCGGCGGUAUGUGACGCAGGUGGCCACACAUCAAUUCCAGUUGUGUUCAAAGCCAGCGGCCCUGUUUUCUCAGGUGCUGUGGCUUGGAAGAAAACUGGAUACGCAGGAACCCAGGAUGAGGAAAAGUCAUAUGCUCACUCCCCUGGCCCUCUCUUCAAGGCUUCAGAUUGAUCUAGGCAGUCCACUGCUCUCUCUGUCCUUUCCUCAGAGAGUUGAGGCCAUCUAGAAGUGUGGAAUAGAUGGGAGACAAGACAACAUGACAUUAUUUUCAUAAUAAUAAUAGCUGCUCCGGAGUUCCCAAGCGAUGUGGCCGACUCCCUUGGCAGGACUGGCCUCAGUUUUCCUGAGAUGAGCAGGUCGGAAGGUGAAGAUCCAAGGACACAUGUCUGAGCACACGUUAGUCUGGCUGGCUAAAAUGAUGUAUCCAUGGAUGGAAGGACAGAUGGAGGAACAGAUGCCAGAGCCAAGUUGCAGAGGGACCACGCCACUGACAGACCCCCUGGAGAUGGAAACCGGGGCCAGGAGACAUCUUCCCAGUGAAGACAAUACAGAGCUCACUGCCUCGUCCGCAGGCCGACGUUCGGCUCAACGCGGGGCUGUCAAAACGUGGAAGGAGAAGAUCUCGGAGAGCGCGCUCAUGGUGUUGAACUCAUUCAUGUGCAUCCGGGACUGCUCAGCCAGGUACGCAUUCAUGUCCUGGUCACUGAUGGCCGGCAUCUUCCCGAUGUCUGAGUAAUACCUGCCAAGGCAUGGGAGUGAGGAACCGUGCGUGCGGGGCAGAGGAGAGAUGGAAACUCCCAGCGCCGGGUCUGGGGCCAGCGGAUUCGGAGGGUGACCCAGACACUAUCAGAGGGGGAACAGGAGGAAGGAGCGACUAUCGCCUGCACUGGCUUUGCUCCCGGCUCCCGGAAGAGUGGUCCAGUCUGCCUUGCGUGUCCUUCUAACUCCCCCUCCCACAGACGCAAGACAUCCCCUCCAUGGGGCCUGAAGGCUCUUCUAGGCAGUUGCCCUGCCCUGAUGUCCUCCCCUCUCUGAGGUUAGCCGGGAGAAGGGUGGGGCUGGGGGCUGCUUGCGGGGAGAGGCCGGCAGAAGGCAAUCAGUCACUGUCACUUGCAGCUGUGCACUCCUGUCAACUGGUUAAUUAGAUGCCAACACAUUUUUAAUUUCUGCAGUUUGACAUUUUAUGCAGCAACCCCCAACUCUCCCACCAGAGGCGAGUUGUGUCAUUUCCUAAUGAGGAACCGAAGGGCCCUGGUGCCCCGCAAGACAGGUGCUUUCGGCUGUGGGCUACGUGAAAGAGACCAGGCACCUGCAAAGGUGGGGGAGCAUCAGGGCUGUGGGGCAGCACGCCCAGGAGUCCUUGUGGUGUCCCAGCUCAGCCCACGCUGAAUGCCCGCGGCUUCAAUGCUGGGGAGAGUGAGCCUGAGAGCUUAGAACAGAGGAGGGUGGCGGGGACAGUCACCAGGGCGGGGACUAGGGUGAGGCAAGUGAGGCAGCGGGGGAACAAAGUUUUCGGAGAGUCACUCACUCUCACCUGGGAAAGUGCAGGUGACAAUGAGAGGCCUUGGGUUCCCAGAACUCAAGGCUUGAUCAGGUGAGUGGAGGCAGUAUUCUCAGAGGCUCUGGUUCAUUCUCAGCCUGGACCUCAGCCCUGCAUCUCUCCCUCUGCAUCCCUUACCAUGCUGACCAUGAAUCUCUCAGUCUUGUGCCCACCUUCACCUCUGCCCCUAGGUGCCCAGGAGUUGGGUGACAGACUAUCAGAGGUGGCACUCGUGUGCUACUCCAGCAUCAUGCUCAAGGGCCUGUGUGAACGACAGUCAGACCUACUGACCGCGAGGAAAACCCCAGGCUCCCCCUGAUGGGACGUGAUCGUCAUCGGAAGCAAAGACUCCUGCCAUUCCCGUUACCUGCUCGUGAAACCUUACAGGAUGGCCCCAGUGAUUGAGAAGGUGGUCUCCAAUGCCCUGGACCCUUAGAGAAGAACAAAGUAUCCUCAUCCCUUCAAACAUCUCACAGAUGAAGGCCCAGCAGAAUCAGGACGUUGCUCCCUGAGCCCCCACUGGUACAGCUCAUGGGGCUUGCUGAGGGCCUGUCUGUGUGUCCUCCUUGACCAUGAGGACCACAAGGGAAGGAUCAAGUCUAAUCCACCCCGAGCGUCCAGUGCACCCACAAUGGACACCAUAAAUGUUUGACCCAUGGAUGAAUGAGUAAGGUGAGAGAUGGCAUCCCAGCGAGCAGCAUGCCCCGGUCCAAUUCCCAGGGGCCCAACUGUGGCUCCAUUCCGUUCACUCCUAUGUGGAAAACCUGUGCCUGCAGACGUGGCCGUAAGCAAAACCCCUAAUACUUGGAAUGGAGGCAGCAAAGACUGGGAGUCUGCAGCGAGGCCACCGGCCACAAGCACUGCCAGGUCCCAUUGCAGUGACAUUGCACCAGGACAGGUGCCCAGCUGCUGCCUCUUUCUUCUCUCUCUUUGCUGAAGAGCCAGCUGACCACACCGGAGACCUUGCUCCUCCUGGCAGCUCUGUUGUCAGAAGAAUGAGCCACUGUCGACGCAGGGGAAGUUCACUUUCCGGGGACGUGGAGAUCAGCGAGGUUGAACAAUCUGUUCAGAGAUACAGCAUUGAUGGGCACUGGAGGGCUCGAUGCCCAGCCUGGACCACAGGACUCACCAUCUUCCCUGAGAACACAAGGCUUUGGGGUCCGAGGCAGCCAUGACAGAACCAUCCCAUGAAGUUGGUGGUUUUUGCAGUCCCCGUUUUGCUGAAUGAUUCAAUGAACUCACCGUAUUUACUUGCCGAGGUCCUGGAGACGGUGGAGUUGUUCACUGCAUUGUAGGCUGUCACCUGCUUGGACACUAAAGCCACCACAGAACCAUCUGGCACCUACCGGGAAAAGGCAGGAAGCCAGGAAUCUCGUUUCCAGGCAGCCACUACCCCAUUCAACGCCUCACAGAUGCCGAAACUCUGCAACAGGCAAGAGCACCGGGUAUAGCGGCAUGUGGUUGGGGGCUGGAGUGAGUUACCCGCAGUCCUUGUCUGACCCCUGCCUUGGAUUUUUCCUACAGCUCGCAGACACACAUAUUGUCCUCCCUCCCUCUGUUCCCCUCCUGUCAAGGCUGAGCUGGGGGUCCAGGACUGAUUCCUUCCUGCCUUGUGCACUUGGCAUGACCAGUGCUACAGAUGAAAAUCAGACCCAGGAAGGGAGCUGCCUGCCCUUAGGGGGAGCAGAGAUGCUCCUAAUAUCCAAGUCCCUGCCUCCGGCUCCUGGGCUUGUCUCCUGCUUGGUUGAGAGCUUCUUGUAGCGUCGGGCUGUCCCAGGAAUGAAAACACGAGGAUGCCAUGCGUGUUCGCCGGAGCGGAAGAGCCUUGAGAGGUCUCUGGGGAUUACCCAUCGCUUAGUGCUGUUGAUGGCACAGCCGGAAUGAUUAUGGAGUGAAAGGAUUUUCUACCUGUGUGUUGCCGCUCCAUGGUGGGCAGACAGUGAGCUACAGUGAGAGGUGAAAUGUGAGCCGCGCUGUUAGAACCUGGGACAAAGGAAGAGCUGAACUCCAGAACCUCAACUGGGCACGUCCACUGCCAGAAGUGAAAGCUCUCUGAAGUGAUUAUCACUCAUUCUUCCAAUUUUACGACUGGGAAAUUAAAGAAACAGGUUGAGAAGACAGACCUGGAGGUCAUCACAACUCGGAGGUCAUCACAACUCAGAGCUCUGUCGCGUGGUGCCCACCACGUGCGUGAGCCACCCAAGUGUCGGGAGCAUGGAGGAGGGGCAGUGAUGGCCAGACUGGAACCUGGGCUGUGGCCACACUGGGAUGCUGGCGGGUAGUUGCCUCCCCUCAAGUGCAUACUCUGAGCUCCAGGAAUCCCAGUGGGACAUAGCACUUCCCCCUCCACAAAAUCAAGUUGUGCUGAUGGGGGCGUCGCACGCUUUCCCCACUGGCUGAGCCUUGUGACCAGUGAUGAUACACCAUGGGCAGCAGGAUGGUCAAGGGCAGCAGGAAGCCUGCUGUUCACUGAUGUCAGUGCUUAGUCACACAUUCAGGGACUGCAAGAAGAGGCAUUCUGGUGUCCCAGUCCUACGGUCCUUCGAGCCCAGCCCCUGCCUCUGAUGGGAUGCCAGCAGGCAGCAGGGAGGCAUCAACUAGUGUCGUUUUGGCAAUUAUCUCAAAAAGUUAAGACUGGUCCUCCAAAUACCAAUAUGAAGAUAGCGAGCUGGAGAAUACUUAGCUUUUAGAUCUCUCAAGCCUGUUAUUUUGGUUACCUCUUCUACAGGAAAAUUGCUAAGUGCUUUUUUCCUGAAAUAUCGGAA